This 430-nucleotide ribosomal RNA is filed under the name Verrucomicrobiota bacterium. RNAcentral's name for it is "Verrucomicrobia bacterium partial 16S ribosomal RNA". It matches the Rfam family "Bacterial small subunit ribosomal RNA", at positions 355 to 776 of the family's 1533-position model. The record is from RNAcentral. Lineage: Bacteria; Pseudomonadati; Verrucomicrobiota.
UAGGGAAUCUUCGGCAAUGGGGGGAACCCUGACCGAGCAACGCCGCGUGAGUGAAGAAGGUUUUCGGAUCGUAAAGCUCUGUUGUUAAGGAAGAACGAGUGUGAGAAUGGAAAGUUCAUGCUGUGACGGUACUUAACCAGAAAGGGACGGCUAACUACGUGCCAGCAGCCGCGGUGAUACGUAGGUCCCGAGCGUUGUCCGGAUUUAUUGGGCGUAAAGCGAGCGCAGGCGGUUAGAAAAGUCUGAAGUGAAAGGCAGUGGCUCAACCAUAGGCUUGCCGACAAAACGGUUGAACUAGAGUACUGGGAAGGUGGGUGGAACUACACGAGUAGAGGUGAAAGGCGUAGAUAUGUGUAGGAAUGCCGAUGAUGAAGAUAACUCACUGGGCAGAAACGGACGCUGAAGUGCGAAAGCUAGGGGAGCAAGCAGG